Salmo salar (Atlantic salmon) is the source of this 53-nucleotide non-coding RNA. The record is from Rfam. NCBI's taxonomy places the organism in Eukaryota, Metazoa, Chordata, Actinopteri, Salmoniformes, Salmonidae.
UGUAUUCACUACUGUAAGUCGCUCUGGAUAAGAGCGUCUGCAAAUUUUGUUUA